CUCUCUUCUCCAGAUAUGAUUUGGUUAGAGGAUGAGUCAGAUAGAUAUAUUAAGAGAAUCUUAAAUACAUGUGUCCAUAAUUCACUCUUUAAAUCCAGGAACAGGAAACUCAGGAAUGAAAUAGAUUAAGAGAAUCAAAGAUACUUGUAUUCAAGAUUAGCAAGUAGGAGUGUCCUCAAAAGAAAUGGUGAUUAUCUAAAAUUCAGGGAUUAAAUGUGAUAAUGAACGUACAAAGACAACAUGAAGUAGAAAAUGCCACGUGGGAAGCACUGAGUAAAGGGCAAUUUACCAUGAUUUUGCCAAUAUGUGUGGUCAAUUCCCAAGCAAAUUAUUAUGUAACCCCUGCUAGAGGGAGAAAGCUUCCAGCCUUGGCUGGAGAGUGGGGAGGAUCCAGUGUCUGUAUUUUUUAAAAUGUCUACAGGUGUUUCUCAUGUGCAAAUUGGUAUCCCUGCAUGAGAACCAUAAACCAACAGAAAACCCAAAAGACCGAGGACAAUGAUGGGUUGCCGACAGCCCAAGCUUUUCUGCCACAGAAGAGUGGUUCCAGUCAGGAAGACUGAGCAAGAGGCUCAGAGUCUUAGCUAAGGACAAGCAAGUCGGGGCUUCUAAUACGACCAAAUGUCAUCGACGGGGGAGGGCAGUUCAGCACAAGAAGGGAGCAGCAGAUGGGUCAUGAAUCUAAUGAUGCCACAGUUUCGGGAGCAGAAUAGACCACCCCACGAUGGGAAUGGGACAACCAUCUGUAUCCAACGGGCAAACUGGGGUUAUUUUAUGAAUACCCUGAAAUGAGAGUAAAAGAAGUUAUGUUGUCCUUCCAUCCUUCCACCACUCCAUGUUGUGUGUCCAUUCCUUCAACAGGUAUUCAGUUUGGGUUCACCACAGUAUAUGUGGCCUCUUUCCAGUGGCCCCUCUGUUGGCUCUGGAGAACAAUAUAUUGGAAAUCAGAGUGGGUACGUGGAACCUUGACUACCCAGUAUAGACGUAUGGUGCCAGAAAAAGCCCAGAACAUCUCAGCAUGGCAGCCAACCAUGCAAGGAACAGCAAUUCUGGCUGUGGUGGACCAAUGUGAAUAAAAAGGCUUCAUUGGGUGAAGACUUAGAAAAGUCGAAAAAUGCAUUGGCGUUGCUUCCUACGGAAUCCAGUGUUGGGUACUGUUUAAUAUGAGAGGGAGAUGCUAACACUAUCAUCGUUAUAAACAACAUAGUUGUUGUAACUGUAAUUGUUAUUAUUUUUAAUAUAUUUUCUUUAUAAUUAUUAUUUGUGACUUACAAGACCCUUACAGAGGCAGUUGUUAAGAAGCGUGGCAGUUAUACUCUUGCUGAAGUGUUAAUUCAGUAGAAGCAUGGUAAUAGCAUUAAUAAGUACUCACUCUUUUGAUCCUCACAUGACUCUAAAAGUCACCCAGCAGUGCUUGUAUAAUGGAGAUAGAAAUCUAUCCGUUUAAUUGUUUGUAGAACCUAAAAUAAGAGCAGUCAUUCCACCGCAUUUGACCAUAUAUUCCAGACUAUCAGUUUAAAGUAGGAACUACCUGAUGAGGCCAUAGAAACCCUUUGUGCCUCCCCAAUCGUUCAUUACCUUCCUGUCCUCUGGGGCAGAGUUUCUUCCAUAAGGUGGCCCCAUCUCUCCUCCCCACCCCACUCUUGGCCUUUGCUACCCACUGUUGUUCAUUAGCUAAGCAGCCUCAUGUUCUGCAUGUGUCUGAGCUGUGAGGGAACAGAACUCAGCUGUUUACAAACUCUAUUGACUAUAACUAGUCUGAACAGCCUCUCUCCUUCCCUGCCCAUAACCCCACAGGGCAACAGGGGGCUCACAACCACAGCGAUUCCCAUGCCAGCCCAACAGGGAACCUUCUUCCCUAGAAAUAUUCUUACAACCAGGGCUGUUUCCUCCCUUACUUCACUGCCAGUUUCACUCCCAGGUUACAGUCCCCAACAAAAGGCUAUCCCAGUUAGGAUAUCUUAAUCAAGUCGCAUUGACCCUGAGUACCUGGCAUUUUCACAUGAGCACUCAUAGAAAUAGA
Long non-coding RNA from Camelus dromedarius (Arabian camel), 2020 nucleotides. RefSeq lists it as uncharacterized. NCBI's taxonomy places the organism in Eukaryota, Metazoa, Chordata, Mammalia, Artiodactyla, Camelidae. The record is from RefSeq and is a predicted model, not a curated record. The transcript has 3 exons.